AGGGACCUAUAGGGAUUUAUAGGGACCUAUAGAGAUCUGUAGAAAACAUAGAGACUCGUAGGAGCCAUAGAAACUUAUGGAAGAUGUAAGGACCCAUGUAAACAGACCCAUAGGAACCCAUAGGAGACACACAGAUCCACAAAGCUCCAUUAAAACAUAAAGAAAGACACAGGGACCCAUAGGGAACUACAGAAAUCUAUAGGAGACACAGGGAUCCCGGGGACCCAUAGGAACCCAUCGGAGACAAAGGGACCCAUAUAGGGCAGAUGGGGCCAUAUAGGGCAGAUGGGGCCAUAUAGGGCAGUUAGGGGCCCAUAUAGGGCAGAUGGGGCCAUAUAGGGCAGUUAGGGGGCCCACAUUGGGCACCUAGAGGCCCAUAUGGGACACUUAGGGAGCCCAUGGAGCUGCUUUAGGGCCGAGGGAAUCCCUCGGGGCGCACUCCCUCAUCCCAAACCCCCUCAGAACCACCACGAGGAGCUGCCCCUCCCCAUUCCUCCCACUCACCGCUACGGGGCGAAGUGGAGCACGGGGAAUGGAUCCCUCUACCACCACGGGGCGGCUAUGGGGCGGCUAUGGGGCGGCUAUGGGGCGCGCACCGCGCGCUGGGCCCAGGCUCAGCUCUCCACAGCGAAGGGCGUGGCCGCGCCGCCUUCCCGCCCUCCGCGCUCUCAGCCAAUCAGCGCCCGCCUCCCUUCGCGCCCGACGCCGCCGCCACGCGCACGGCCGUUAGCCCCGCCCCCGCCCUCCCGGCGCGCGUGCGCGUGCGCGGCCAUGACGUCACAUCCGCCUCAGCCCUCCUCUCGCAGCCAAUCGGAGCGCGGCUACGGCGCGCGGGCCAAGGGCCGGGGUCAAGGGUCAGAGCUCAGCCAAGAUGGCGGCGGCGGCGCCGGGGCGGCGGCGGCCGGUGCUGCUGCUGCUGCUCGGAGCCGUUUAUCUCGGGCUCAGCGCGGCCGUGGAUCGGAGCAACUUCAAAACGUGCGAGCAAAGCAGUUUCUGCAGGCGGCAGCGCAGUUUCCAACCCGGCCGCUCUCCGUACCGAGCGCUGUUGGAUUCGUUGCAGCUCAGCCCCGAAUCCGUCACGGUGCAGGUGGUCAAUGAGGCCACCAAGGUCCCGUUGCAGUUGGAGCUGCAGGCUCUGCACUCCAACAUCACCCGCCUGCGGCUCCGGGAGCUGCGCCCGCUGCGCCCGCGCUACGAGGUGCCCGACGUGCUGGUGGGAGACCUCCCCCAUCCCGAGCCGCUGUCGGUGUCAGGCCGUGACGAGGGCAGCGUGGAGCUGUCGUGGGGGGGUCCGGGGGGUCCUGGGGGUCUCCGGCUGCUGCUGACGGCGCAGCCUUUCCGCCUGGAUGUUCUGCAGGGCUCUGAGCCCCUCUGCAGCGCCAACGCCCGCGGGCUGCUGCUCUUUGAGCACCUCCGACAGCGGCCCGGGCAGCAGCAAGGGUGAGUCUGACCCCCCCUUACGUAAAACACCCCCUAAGCACGUGGGAAUGGGCCUGAAGUGUCCCUAAGUGCCCUGAAAAGCACCCAGAAUGGCCUUAAGUAACCUGAAAUGUGGCCAAAAUGUCUCUAAAUGUCCCCAAAUACCCCCAAUAUGCCCAAGUGUUUUGAGAACCCUCCCCAAAAUACGCCCCCAGACACCCCCAAACACCCCCAAAUAUGCCUACAUGUUCUGAGAGUGAAUCUGACCCCCCUGUUAACAUAAAACACCCCCUAAGAACACAGGAAUGGCCCUGAAACGUCCCUAAAUGCCCUGAGAAGCACCCAGAAUGGCCUUAAAUGACC
This 1782-nucleotide long non-coding RNA is filed under the name Phasianus colchicus (ring-necked pheasant). RNAcentral describes it as "lncRNA (ENSPCLG00000017490.1)". The record is from RNAcentral. Lineage: Eukaryota; Metazoa; Chordata; Aves; Galliformes; Phasianidae.